Long non-coding RNA from Bradysia coprophila, 98 nucleotides. NCBI's taxonomy places the organism in Eukaryota, Metazoa, Arthropoda, Insecta, Diptera, Sciaridae. The record is from RefSeq and is a predicted model, not a curated record.
GGGGGUCACUAUUACAUUAAAGCGUACAUUUUCCACACAAUCAUUCUUUCAAUACCGAUCAACUUUGCCGAAAAAACCAACUCUACAUCUGCUUCACA